GACGAACGCUGGCGGCGUGCUUAACACAUGCAAGUCGAACGGAAAGGCCCUGCUUUUGUGGGGUGCUCGAGUGGCGAACGGGUGAGUAACACGUGAGUAACCUGCCCUUGACUUUGGGAUAACUUCAGGAAACUGGGGCUAAUACCGGAUAGGAGCUCCUGCUGCAUGGUGGGGGUUGGAAAGUUUCGGCGGUUGGGGAUGGACUCGCGGCUUAUCAGCUUGUUGGUGGGGUGGUGGCUUACCAAGGCUUUGACGGGUAGCCGGCCUGAGAGGGUGACCGGGCACAUUGGGACUGAGAUACGGCCCAGACUGCUACGGGAGGCAGCAGUGGGGAAUAUUACACAAUGGGCGGAAGCCUGAUGCAGCAACGCCGCGUGCGGGAUGACGGCCUUCGGGUUGUAAACCGCUUUCGCCUGUGACGAAGCGUGAGUGACGGUAAUGGGUAAAGAAGCACCGGCUAACUACGUG
This 468-nucleotide ribosomal RNA is filed under the name uncultured bacterium. RNAcentral describes it as "partial 16S ribosomal RNA". It matches the Rfam family "Bacterial small subunit ribosomal RNA", at positions 28 to 507 of the family's 1533-position model. The record is from RNAcentral.